GGGGAUUUAGCUCAGCGGCAUAAGCACCUGCCUUGUAAGCAGGCAGUUGUGAGCUCGAAGCAGGCAGUUGUGAGCUCGAUCCCCG
Molecule: transfer RNA, 85 nt
Filed under: Cavia porcellus (domestic guinea pig)
Lineage: Eukaryota; Metazoa; Chordata; Mammalia; Rodentia; Caviidae
Source: Rfam by way of RNAcentral